CCCAGCCGCACGCCGAGCUCUGCCAGCGGACCGGGAUGCAGCAAUCCAAGGCAGAGGCGGGGGAACCACCAGCGGCGGCCGAGGCCGCCUUGGGGUGAAGCCCGCAGCACGCUCGGGACACUGGCAUGCAGGAUCCAUCCGUGGAUACCCGUGUGCCCAGACCCGUGCGGCUGGGCCGAGUCCGGACUCUCUGGCUCGAACCCGACAGCUAACUUCGCAGGCGCUUGACGAGAGAGGGA
RNAcentral lists this small RNA (239 nucleotides) under Sinomonas sp. RNAcentral's name for it is "c-di-AMP sequence". It matches the Rfam family "c-di-AMP riboswitch aptamer (ydaO/yuaA leader)". From Rfam's summary of the family: This family represents a conserved RNA structure found upstream of the ydaO and yuaA genes in Bacillus subtilis and related genes in other bacteria. The ydaO/yuaA element is thought to act as a genetic "off" switch for the ydaO and yuaA genes in its native state. It is believed that the element may be triggered during osmotic shock leading to activation of ydaO, a predicted amino acid transporter gene, and members of the yuaA-yubG operon which code for KtrA and KtrB K+ transporters. Lineage: Bacteria; Bacillati; Actinomycetota; Actinomycetes; Micrococcales; Micrococcaceae. The record is from RNAcentral.